Molecule: long non-coding RNA, 1927 nt
Filed under: Setaria italica (foxtail millet)
Lineage: Eukaryota; Viridiplantae; Streptophyta; Magnoliopsida; Poales; Poaceae
Description: long non-coding RNA (SITA_LNC005253)
Source: RNAcentral
CCUCUUUGCUUAUCAACUCAUUAUCUUUUAGCUUAGAGGCUAGUCAUGUGCUUAAGUGAGAGGAGAGAGGGAGAUUAGAGAGUGAUUACUCUUUUUUCUUGAUUUCUUCAUCUUUAGUGAGUGGAUGAAGGGAGGAGGCUAGUCCUCAUCUUGUAUAGAAGAUGUUCUCGUGAUUUAGCUUUGUUUGUUGUCUCAAAUCGUGCUAAAUCUUUGAUUCCCGAGCGUUUUUCUAUUUCGCUAUUUUCGGAGCUAUUUUUGGGGAUUUAUUGUUCUUCGUGUUUGAGCUCGAAUCUCGUGAGAUUGGUUGAAGGGAAAUGUUGCUAGGACCUUAGGAAGCACCUUUGAUAUGAUCCCCCUUCAAAUCCCUCACGAAUCCGGCUUGAAUUUUGAAUUUUCCCAAAUCGUGUUCUUGAGUUAGGGUUUCGGUUUUCUCCAAAAUUUGCGAUGAAUGCUUGAGCUUUUUGAGAUUUGUCUCAUGGAUCUAUUUUCCCUAGUGGUAUUGCAUCCUUGUCUCAAGUUUUAUCUUGAUCAGCGGAGUAUCGAAGGAGUUCUUGUGAUUUGAAGUGGAGCGUGUUCUUCUUUGUUCCUUGCUGUUCUUGCGUGCGUUGUUUUCUGUUCUUCGUUCCUUCUGUUCGUGUGCGCAGGUGACAGAUUGCAGGGAAGCAGCGCUACACUCGCUGCGAGGCUGGCCCGAUGCAGUAGGCGCAGCAGCCCGGCAGUGCGCGACGCGGCCCAGGCAGCAGAGGAGCAUUUGCGGCCCAGCAGUGCUAGCGACAGCAAGCGGCCCAUCGGCUGGCCUGAAGCCCAUCGGCGAGCAGCUGCAGGUGAGCUAGCAGGCUCAGGAGCAAGUAAGUGACCAACGGCCCACACCAACAAGCCAUCGCAGGACCAGGCCUUCAAGAAAAUGAACAGCAGGUGCACACAGCCCAAUAGCACAAGUCCAAGUGUAGCUAGUCGUGCAAACCAGUGAGCUAAUUCCUUUUAUCUUUUGUUAAUUCCAUGCAAUAAUUAGUUCUCUAUUAAUUCCUUCACUUAGCUAAAUUAACCUGUGUCCUCUUAUUUAGCUACUUGUUUUUAUCUUACUAAUCAUGCGUAGUUUAUUACUCAUCCUUUGAUGCCCCUUUGAUGCCUAGAUUAGUAAGUGGGUAGUAGUAUCUUUGCUUUGCCUCAUUUGUGCAAACUUGAUAGAAUCAAUUCAUGCUAUGUUUCCGCUGUGAUUUGAGCGUUUCUUAUCGUUCCUAGGGUGAGCUUGUCACGAGUUGACUUGUGUCAUCUUGACGAUAAAAUGCGCGGUGUGAUGUGGGGUUGCAUUUGGAACAUAGACCUUGUUCUCAUUGAGAAUUUUUAUAGGCUCCCAUUCAUCUCCCUCUGGUCGCCCUUUCGAUCCUUCAAGAAACCAUCCAUGCACGCGAUUGCCAGUGCGGUUCUGGCCUCUGGGCAGGUAUUUUCGGCGGAGGGCGGCCGGCCGCCGAUGGAGUGAAGAUGUUAUGCCGGUUUCCGGUCUACCGAAGUGGCUCGGGGCGGCGGCAGAGGUGCAGCAAGCAGCUCACGGCCACACGCGGCCACGCUGCUACGUUUUCAACAAUUUCUCGAAUUUUUUGAAGGCCCGGUUGCCGAUCCUUCAUAAAUUUUUUCUUAAUUAUUUAAAGGCUUUUAGUAAUUAUAUAAGAGAUUCCUAGAGUGAUUCGUGGUUUUGGUUGAUAAAUGUUGGUUGGGAUUCUUAUUAGUAGCUAAUUCGUUGUCAUCAAGAUGAGGGGCUAAGCGUUUUGCAGGGAGCUUGGAGAAGAUUUUUGCUAUAAUAAUGUAUGCGAGGCUUAUUGGUCUCAUGGUCUGUAAUUACCUAUGGCCAAGGCAUCUGCUUUUUUAAUGAGAAUAAUAUGUGCAGAGUUAUAGAGAUCAAGGUUACGAGCGUUCGUAGAGAUCUCUG